This 504-nucleotide ribosomal RNA is filed under the name uncultured Carnobacterium sp. RNAcentral's name for it is "bacterial SSU rRNA". It matches the Rfam family "Bacterial small subunit ribosomal RNA", at positions 32 to 507 of the family's 1533-position model. Lineage: Bacteria; Bacillati; Bacillota; Bacilli; Lactobacillales; Carnobacteriaceae. The record is from RNAcentral.
GGACGACGCUGCGGCAUGCCUAAUACAUGCAAGUCGAACGCUUUGUUUCACCGGGUGCUUGCACCCAUCGAACAAAAGAGUGGCGGACGGGUGAGUAACACGUGGGUAACCUGCCCAUAAGAGGGGGAUAACAUCCGGAAACGGAUGCUAAUACCGCAUAUUUCCAAUUGUCUCCUGACAGAUGGAAAAAGGUGGCUUCGGCUACCGCUUAUGGAUGGACCCGCGGCGUAUUAGCUAGUUGGUGAGGUAAUGGCUCACCAAGGCGAUGAUACGUAGCCGACCUGAGAGGGUGAUCGGCCACACUGGGACUGAGACACGGCCCAGACUCCUACGGGAGGCAGCAGUAGGGAAUCUUCCGCAAUGGACGAAAGUCUGACGGAGCAAUGCCGCGUGAGUGAAGAAGGUUUUCGGAUCGUAAAACUCUGUUGUUAGAGAAGAACAAGGAUGAGAGCAACUGCUCAUCCCCUGACGGUAUCUAACCAGAAAGCCACGGCUAACUACGUG